RNAcentral lists this ribosomal RNA (500 nucleotides) under uncultured Glomeromycotina. Its description in RNAcentral is "partial small subunit ribosomal RNA". It matches the Rfam family "Eukaryotic small subunit ribosomal RNA", at positions 591 to 1092 of the family's 1831-position model. The record is from RNAcentral. Lineage: Eukaryota; Fungi; Glomeromycota.
CCAAUAGCGUAUAUUAAAGUUGUUGCAGUUAAAAAGCUCGUAGUUGAAUUUCGGGAUCAAUACGUCGGUCGUGCCUUCGGUACGUACUGGUAUCAUUGGUUUCUCCUUUCUGACGAACCAUGAUGUCAUUAAUUUGGUGUUAUGGGGAGUUAGGACUGUUACUUUGAAAAAAUUAGAGUGUUUAAAGCAGGCUUUAGCUUGAAUACAUUAGCAUGGAAUAAUGAAAUAGGACGUUCGAACCUAUUUUGUUGGUUUCUAGGAUCAACGUAAUGAUUAAUAGGGAUAGUUGGGGGCAUUAGUAUUCAAUUGUCAGAGGUGAAAUUCUUGGAUUUAUUGAAGACUAACUACUGCGAAAGCAGUUGCCAAGGAUGUUGUCAUUAAGCAAGAACGAAAGUUAGGGGAUCGAAGACGAUCUGAUACCGUCGUAGUCUUAACCAUAAACUAGGCCGACUAGGGAUCGGAUGAUGUUAAUUUUUUAAUGACUCAUUCGGCGCCUUACG